UAUGCUUUUGCCAAGCAUCGAGUCGUCCACGUUUCUUUGCUCACGUUCACAUUUGAAUUAGUAGAUCCCUCGAUCAGAAGUGGCAGCAUUGCACAUUGAUACCGGAAAUAAAAGCAGGAUUGGAGGAGGGCCGCAUUUCUGAGAAAUUUAGGUCUUUUUUGUAGAACAAUCAUCCACGUCAAAUAACGGAAUUGUACAAAGACUAAAGAAGGAUGAUUUUUGACGAAAGACGAAAGUCGGGAGGAAAAUGCAAAAUGAAAUCAGCAACCCUCACACUUCCUACCGUGAGGGUUGUUGAACAUCUGUGGACCAAUGAAGAAAUCGUAUUUCAGAUUACAUAGGACGAUGACCGUGGUCGUCUAUCUACAUAUUAUCUGCAUUUUGCCCUUAUUUCUGUUUCCUAUGUUAUACUUAAUCUCAUUAAUUACCGAGUUUUACUAUUUCCUUGAAUUUGCGAUGUAAACCUAAUGAGUAGUAUUUAUAUCUUUAUACGAUGCAUAAUUUAUCUACGGAGCUUUUUAAAA
Molecule: long non-coding RNA, 524 nt
Organism: Folsomia candida
Lineage: Eukaryota; Metazoa; Arthropoda; Collembola; Entomobryomorpha; Isotomidae
Exons: 3
Source: RefSeq, a predicted model, not a curated record